CCCCGCCAUAGCAAACUCCGAAUACCGAAGAGUGCAAUCACGGGAGACAGACAUCGGGUGCUAACGUCCGGUGUCAAGAGGGAAACAACCCAGACCGCCAGCUAAGGUCCCCAAAUAUGGCUAAGUGGGAAACGAAGUGGGAAGGCUAAAACAGUCAGGAGGUUGGCUUAGAAGCAGCCACCCUUUAAAGAAAGCGUAAUAGCUCACUGAUCGAGUCGUCCUGCGCGGAAGAUGUAACGGGGCUAAGCCAUAUACCGAAGCUGCGGAUGCGAGCUAGUCUCGCAUGGUAGGAGAGCGUUCCGUAAGCCUGCGAAGGUGCGUUGAAAAGCGUGCUGGAGGUAUCGGAAGUGCGAAUGCUGACAUGAGUAGCGAUAAAGGGGGUGAAAGGCCCCCUCGCCGUAAGCCCAAGGUUUCCUACGCAACGUUCAUCGGCGUAGGGUGAGUCG
RNAcentral lists this ribosomal RNA (446 nucleotides) under Burkholderia pseudomallei 354a. RNAcentral's name for it is "bacterial LSU rRNA". It matches the Rfam family "Bacterial large subunit ribosomal RNA", at positions 939 to 1386 of the family's 2925-position model. The record is from RNAcentral. Lineage: Bacteria; Pseudomonadati; Pseudomonadota; Betaproteobacteria; Burkholderiales; Burkholderiaceae.